Molecule: ribosomal RNA, 252 nt
Filed under: uncultured bacterium
Lineage: Bacteria
Description: partial 16S ribosomal RNA
Rfam family: Bacterial small subunit ribosomal RNA
Source: RNAcentral
UACGGAGGGACCGAGCGUUGUCCGGAAUCAUUGGGCGUAAAGGGUACGUAGGCGGUCUAGUAAGUUAGAAGGGAAAGGCAGUAGCUCAACUAAUGUAAGCAUUUAAAACUGCUAGACUUGAGAGAUUGAGGGGAAAGUGGAAUUCCUAGUGUAGCGGUGAAAUGCACAGAUAUUAGGAGGAAUACCAGUGGCGAAGGCAACUUUCUGGCAAUCAUCCGACGCUGAGGUACGAAAGCGUGGGUAGCAAACAGG